RNAcentral lists this ribosomal RNA (1301 nucleotides) under Scarites subterraneus. RNAcentral's name for it is "16S ribosomal RNA". The stretch from base 1054 to 1212 matches the Rfam family "Archaeal large subunit ribosomal RNA", at positions 2544 to 2703 of the family's 2987-position model. The record is from RNAcentral. Lineage: Eukaryota; Metazoa; Arthropoda; Insecta; Coleoptera; Carabidae.
GUUAUAUUUUAUUUAAUAAAAAUAAUUUUAAUUAAUAUAAGUUUUAGUAUUGUUUAUAGAAAAAAUUUUUUUUUAUUAUAGUUGAAUUGUAUUGUAAAAGAUUAUUGAAAUAUUCAUUUAUUUAUAUAAAAGAAAAAUUAAUUUUUUGUACCUUGUGUAUCAGGGUUUAUUAAAUAAAUAUUAUUUAUUUUAAUUUUCUCGAGUUUAAGAGAGUUAAUAGUUUAUUUUUUUUAUUGUAGCAAAAAUAUUUAUAAUAAAUUAUUAGUAAUGAAAUGUUAUUCGUUCUUAAAUAUAUCUAGUUUAUUUAGAAAUGAAUUUAAUUCAUAAAUAUUAAUUUUAAUUUAUUAAUUAUUUAAUAAAUUAAUAAAUAUAUUUAAAUAAUUAAAGGGAUCAGCUUUUAAUUAAAAAUUUAUAAAUUAUUUUUAAGAUUUAAUAAAAUGUAAGUUUAGAAAUAGCUAUCAAUAAUAAUUUGUUAUAAUUAAUUUUUUAUAGUAUAAUAAUAUUUUAAAUAAUUUUAAAUUUUUUAUAAAUAUAUAGGUUUUAAUUAUAAAUAUUUAGAAAUAAUGAUAAAAUUAGUAUAUUUAAAUUAUAUUGAAUAAUAUAAUUAUAAGAGAUUAUUUAAAGGAAUUCGGCAAAUAUUUUGCUCGCCUGUUUAACAAAAACAUGUCCUUUUGAUAUUAAUUUAAGGUCUAGCCUGCCCAAUGAAUAAAUUUUUAAUGGCCGCAGUAAUUUGACUGUGCAAAGGUAGCAUAAUCAUUAGUUUUUUAAUUAAAAGCUUGUAUGAAAGGUUGGACGAGGUAAAAUCUGUCUCUAUUUAAUUUACAAUAGAAUUUUAUUUUUAAGUUAAAAAGCUUAAAUAAUUAUAAAAGACGAGAAGACCCUAUAGAUCUUUAUAUUUAUUUUAUUAAAAUUAAUUAAGAUUAUUUUAAAUUUUAUUAAUUAUAAAUAUUUUAUUGGGGUAAUAGAAAGAUUAAAAAAAUUCUUUUUAAUUUAUACAUUAAUUUAUGAAUAUAUGAUCCAAUUUUAUUGAUUAUAAGAUUAAGUUACCUUAGGGAUAACAGCGUAAUUUUUUUAGAGAGUUCAUAUCGAUAAAAAAGUUUGCGACCUCGAUGUUGGAUUAAAGAUUAGUUUAGGUGUAGUCGUUUAAAUUUUUGGUCUGUUCGACCAUUAAAUCUUUACAUGAUCUGAGUUCAGACCGGUGUAAGCCAGGUCGGUUUCUAUCUUUAUAAAUUUAUAAUAUUUUAGUACGAAAGGACCAAAUAUUGAAUAUAUUAAUAUUUUAUUAUUUGAAUAUUAAUAAA